AGGCUGUUAACUCAAUGGUAGAGUACUCGGCUUUUAACCGAAUAGUUCUGGGUUCAAGUCCCAGAUAGCCUA
RNAcentral lists this transfer RNA (72 nucleotides) under Nitzschia alba. Its description in RNAcentral is "tRNA-Lys". It matches the Rfam family "tRNA". From Rfam's summary of the family: Transfer RNA (tRNA) molecules are approximately 80 nucleotides in length. The record is from RNAcentral. Lineage: Eukaryota; Bacillariophyta; Bacillariophyceae; Bacillariales; Bacillariaceae.